GGCGAACUGGUGAGUAACACGUAGGUAACUUGCCCUAAAGCGGGGGAUAACAUUUGGAAACAAGUGCUAAUACCGCAUAACAACAAAAACCGCCUGGUUUUUGUUUGAAAGAUGCGUUUGCAUCACUUUAGGAUGGACCUGCGGCGUAUUAGCUAGUUGGUAAGGUAAUGGCUUACCAAGGCAAUGAUACGUAGCCGACCUGAGAGGGUAAUCGGCCACAAUGGGACUGAGACACGGCCCAU
This 242-nucleotide ribosomal RNA is filed under the name uncultured bacterium. RNAcentral describes it as "partial 16S ribosomal RNA". It matches the Rfam family "Bacterial small subunit ribosomal RNA", at positions 97 to 334 of the family's 1533-position model. The record is from RNAcentral.